Long non-coding RNA from Capsicum annuum, 798 nucleotides. RefSeq lists it as uncharacterized. The transcript has 2 exons. The record is from RefSeq and is a predicted model, not a curated record. NCBI's taxonomy places the organism in Eukaryota, Viridiplantae, Streptophyta, Magnoliopsida, Solanales, Solanaceae.
GCAGCGCGCCGGAACUUAUACUAGUUAUUGUAAAUAUGGAGAAAUGUACGGGUAAUAAUGGGUGAAAGAAAAUGGAGACGUGGCCAAUCCACUUAACUAGAACCGUGUUACAGUGAUUGCAAAUUUGGUCUAAGAAUUUUCAGAACGUGGAUUUGGAGUUUCGUCACGGCAUUAGCCUUUUCUGCUUUCACGGGUGGCCCGUAGUUCUGCACCGUCGAUAUAGCAGAGGAAAACACCAUCAACGGCAAAGAAUGAAACACGAUAUACCCUUAAAGAAAUAGCGAAUGCAUGACAUCGCGGUUUGAGCAGGAUGAAAGUCGUUGGAUCUGAUCGCCCCGAGAGCGACAUCAAAAUGAAACAUGGAGGAGAACGCCCUCUCGUCCUCAUCCUGAAAGCAUGAGUAACCAUAAUAACGAUGCACUAAAGGACAAAAGGGGAACAAAAUGUCAAGAUGUUCAGGUGUGCGGACGAUCCUUCGCAGACUUGCACCAGAUAGGGAAUACUAGGCUGGCACUCUCCAACGCCUCUAACGUGUGGCAUUCACUCAUUGGACAUGGUGCUAUAGGGCUCGGGUGACAUUAUCUUAUUGGUCAUAGGCCUACCUUGUAUUUUAUGAAUAAUUGUUUCUCCACAUUUGUAAGGGGUAUAUGAUUUCGCUCAAGUCUGCCUCUAAGCAUAUCUAGUUUGCCUCUAAGUUCUCUGCUUUUGUAUCUCUAUUUAAUGUAGGAUGCGGCCAAAUUCUUUUCUUGUUUGCUCUAAUUACACGACUUGUGUAGUGAUUCAGAUUUACUUUUUUAA